GACGAACGCUGGCGGCGUGCUUAACACAUGCCAGUCGAACGGAAAGGCCCCUUUGGGGGUACUCGAGUGGCGAACGGGUGAGUAACACGUGAGUAACCUGCCCUUGACUUCGGGAUAACUUCAGGAAACUGGGGCUAAUACCGGAUAGGAAUCCUUGCUGCAUGGGGGGGGUUGGAAAGCUUCGGCGGUUUUGGAUGGACUCGCGGCUUAUCAGCUUGUUGGUGGGGUAGUGGCUUACCAAGGCUUUGACGGGUAGCCGGCCUGAGAGGGCGACCGGCCACAUUGGGACUGAGAUACGGCCCAGACUCCGACGGGAGGCAGCAGUGGGGAAUAUUGCACAAUGGGCGGAAGCCUGAUGCAGCAACGCCGCGUGCGGGAUGACGGCCUUCGGGUUGUAAACCGCUUUCAGCAGGGGCGAAGCUUGUGGUGACGGUACCUGCAGAAGAAGCACCGGCUAACUACGUG
This 465-nucleotide ribosomal RNA is filed under the name uncultured bacterium. RNAcentral describes it as "partial 16S ribosomal RNA". It matches the Rfam family "Bacterial small subunit ribosomal RNA", at positions 28 to 507 of the family's 1533-position model. The record is from RNAcentral.